Molecule: ribosomal RNA, 253 nt
Filed under: uncultured bacterium
Lineage: Bacteria
Description: partial 16S ribosomal RNA
Rfam family: Bacterial small subunit ribosomal RNA
Source: RNAcentral
CACGUAGGGUCCGAGCGUUGUCCGGAAUUACUGGGCGUAAAGCGUGCGCAGGCGGUUGGGUCAGUCGCUGGUGAAAGCCCCACGCUCAACGUGGGAAUGGCCAACGAGACGGCCCGACUGGAGGCAGGGAGAGGCCGGUGGAAUUCCGGGUGUAGUGGUGAAAUGCGCAGAUAUCAGGAAGAACACCAAUGGCGAAGGCAGCUCUCUGGGACGGUACUGACGCUGAGACGCGAAAGCGUGGGGAGCGAACAGG